RNAcentral lists this ribosomal RNA (265 nucleotides) under uncultured prokaryote. RNAcentral's name for it is "partial 16S ribosomal RNA". It matches the Rfam family "Bacterial small subunit ribosomal RNA", at positions 524 to 789 of the family's 1533-position model. The record is from RNAcentral.
UACGUAGGGGGCGAGCGUUAUCCGGAAUUAUUGGGCGUAAAGGGUUCGCAGGCGGCCUUGUAAGUCAGAUGUGAAAGACAGCGGCUUAACCGUUGUAAGCAUUUGAAACUGCAGGGCUUGAGUACAGAAGAGGAGAGUGGAAUUCCACGUGUAGCGGUGAAAUGCGUAGAGAUGUGGAGGAACACCAGUGGCGAAGGCGACUCUCUGGUCUGUAACUGACGCUGAGGUGCGAAAGCGUGGGUAGCAAACAGGAUUAGAUACCCGU